This 848-nucleotide ribosomal RNA is filed under the name uncultured bacterium. RNAcentral describes it as "bacterial SSU rRNA". It matches the Rfam family "Bacterial small subunit ribosomal RNA", at positions 58 to 917 of the family's 1533-position model. The record is from RNAcentral.
CAAGUCGAACGGUCCGCUUCGGCGGAUAGUGGCGCACGGGUGCGUAACACAUAUGCAACCUACCUUACAUUGGGGGAUAGCCUUUCGAAAGGGAGAUUAAUACCGCAUAAGACAGUAGCUGGGCAUCCAGUAGCUGUUAAAGAUUUAUCGAUGUAAGCUGGGCAUGCGUCCAAUUAGUUAGUUGGUGAGGUAACGGCUCACCAAGACGAUGAUUGGUAGGGGAACUGAGAGGUCAAUCCCCCACACUGGCACUGAGAUACGGGCCAGACUCCUACGGGAGGCAGCAGUAGGGAAUAUUGGGCAAUGGACGCAAGUCUGACCCAGCCAUGCCGCGUGCAGGAAGAAGGCGUUCUGCGUUGUAAACUGCUUUUAUAUAGGAAGAAACGACCCUUGCGAGGGGCAUUGACGGUAUUAUAUGAAUAAGCACCGGCUAACUCCGUGCCAGCAGCCGCGGUAAUACGGAGGGUGCAAGCGUUGUCCGGAUUUAUUGGGUUUAAAGGGUGCGCAGGUGGUUUAUUAAGUCAGUGGUGAAAGACGGUCGCUCAACGAUUGCAGUGCCAUUGAUACUGAUAGACUUGAGUAAAGUAGAGGUGGGCGGAAUUGAUAGUGUAGCGGUGAAAUGCAUAGAUAUUAUCAAGAACUCCGAUUGCGAAGGCAGCUCACUUGGCUUUUACUGACACUCAUGCACGAAAGUGUGGGUAUCAAACAGGAUUAGAUACCCUGGUAGUCCACACUGUAAACGAUGAUAACUAGGUGUUGGCCGAAUCUGGUCAGUGCCACAGCGAAAGCGUUAAGUUAUCCACCUGGGGAGUACGCCGGCAACGGUGAAACUCAAAGGAAUUGACGGG